Molecule: unclassified non-coding RNA, 297 nt
Filed under: Hevea brasiliensis (rubber tree)
Lineage: Eukaryota; Viridiplantae; Streptophyta; Magnoliopsida; Malpighiales; Euphorbiaceae
Source: RNAcentral
UUCUUCUUCUUCUUCUUCUUCUUCCCUUUUUUUUUUUUGUGUAUAUAGUCGGCUAGUGUAAAUCCCUGUUUUUUAAGGCAAAUGGAAUUGAAUCUAAGUUGGUAUGUGCAUUUGUUUUCAGGUGGUCAAGUGUUUUAAUGUGAGCAGCAUUGUGGACUAAGAGUCUGGGAGAUACUAAGAUCUUGGUGUUCCUUUUCUUUUUUGGCUUCAAUGUUUUUGAGUAAUUAAACUUGUGGAGGGAAUGUGAUAAAAUUUAUGAUUUUGCUCUAAAAAUAUAUGCAAGUGUUAAAAAGAACG